This is a long non-coding RNA of Prionailurus viverrinus (fishing cat), 578 nucleotides long. RefSeq lists it as uncharacterized. NCBI's taxonomy places the organism in Eukaryota, Metazoa, Chordata, Mammalia, Carnivora, Felidae. The record is from RefSeq and is a predicted model, not a curated record. The transcript has 5 exons.
ACACUGAAAAAUCCAACCUUUAGGUACAGCUUAGCACUCUGGGGCAUUCAGCUCCCCAAGACCUGCCAGUUCUCAUUUUAACAUUUGAUAUUUUAUGACAACACAAAUUCAUCACGUUAUUGUGUUGUUUAUAUGCGACAAGGAUUCAAAAUGAUUACCUAUGGCAUUGCCUUCAAGAAAUGACUGGAUAGCUGUCUUGCAGAAGGAAGGUGCUUAUUUCAUCUUUGGCUUUCCAAGAGAGGAAUGUUUAACGCAUUAGAAGGCUCCUCCCCAACUCAGAUGCACCUAUUGGUCCUGCUUCUAGAAGACAAAAGAUAAGCUUUAUUUCUCUCUUGUGAAAGAUCCUUUCAGAUAUCUGAAGACAGCUAACAUGCCUUCUCUGUUCCCAGAUCAGGAAUGGAAUGUCACCUUUUGACAUCAUGUGAGAUGACAAUGUUGAGAACAAGGAUAACCUUUAUAGCUGAUCCAAGGAUUUGUUAGCAUGACUCCCAGAGGCUUCUGGGAAAGUGAUCUCUCUCCUGGCUCUGCGCUUCCAAUCAGGGCAUACUUGAAGCCUUUCCCACCCCGACUCUUCUGCC